GACGAACGCUGGCGGCAUGCCUAACACAUGCAAGUCGAGCGAGCAGAUCCCUUCGGGGUGAAGCUAGCGGCGGACGGGUGAGUAACACGUGGGCAACCUGCCUCAUAGAGGGGAAUAGCCUUCCGAAAGGAAGAUUAAUACCGCAUAAGAUUGUAGCUUCGCAUGAAGUAGCAAUUAAAGGAGCAAUCCACUGUGAGAUGGGCCCGCGGAGCAUUAGCUAGUUGGUGAGGUAACGGCUCACCAAGGCGACGAUGCGUAGCAGACCUGGGAGGGUGAUCGGCAACAUUGGGACUGAGACACGGCCCGGACUCCUAGGGGAGGCAGCAGUGGGGAAUAUUGCACAAUGGGGGAAACCCUGAUGCAGCAAUGCCGCGUGAGUGAUGACGGCCUUCGGGUUGUAAAGCUCUGUCUUCGGGUACGAUAAUGACGGUACCCGAGGAGGAAGCCACGGCUAACUACGUGCCAGCCGCCGCGUAA
Molecule: ribosomal RNA, 477 nt
Filed under: uncultured bacterium
Lineage: Bacteria
Description: partial 16S ribosomal RNA
Rfam family: Bacterial small subunit ribosomal RNA
Source: RNAcentral